Non-coding RNA from Vararia minispora EC-137, 81 nucleotides. Lineage: Eukaryota; Fungi; Basidiomycota; Agaricomycetes; Russulales; Lachnocladiaceae. The record is from the annotation of a GenBank genome assembly.
GGUCCUGUAGUGUAGUGGUUAUCACAACGGAUUCUGAUUAGCGGCUUUCCGUUAACCCAGGUUCGAGUCCUGGCAGGACCU